GCCAGACUCCUACGGGAGGCAGCAGUGAGGAAUAUUGGUCAAUGGUCGGGAGACUGAACCAGCCAAGCCGCGUGAGGGAUGAAGGUACAGAGUAUCGUAAACCUCUUUUGUCAGGGAACAAAGGCGGGGACGUGUCCCCGGAUGAGUGUACCUGAAGAAAAAGCAUCGGCUAACUCCGUGCCAGCAGCCGCGGUAAUACGGAGGAUGCGAGCGUUAUCCGGAUUUAUUGGGUUUAAAGGGUGCGUAGGCGGGCUUUUAAGUCAGCGGUAAAAAUUCGGGGCUCAACCCCGUCCGGCCGUUGAAACUGGCGGGCUGGAGUUGGAGAGAAGUACGCGGAAUGCGCGGUGUAGCGGUGAAAUGCUUAGAUAUCGCGCAGAACCCCGAUUGCGAAGGCAGCGUACCGGCUCCACACUGACGCUGAGGCACGAAAGCGUGGGUAUCGAACAGGAUUAGAUACCCGAGUA
This 464-nucleotide ribosomal RNA is filed under the name uncultured bacterium. Its description in RNAcentral is "bacterial SSU rRNA". It matches the Rfam family "Bacterial small subunit ribosomal RNA", at positions 330 to 792 of the family's 1533-position model. The record is from RNAcentral.